This 2761-nucleotide ribosomal RNA is filed under the name Escherichia coli NCCP15658. RNAcentral's name for it is "bacterial LSU rRNA". It matches the Rfam family "Bacterial large subunit ribosomal RNA". Lineage: Bacteria; Pseudomonadati; Pseudomonadota; Gammaproteobacteria; Enterobacterales; Enterobacteriaceae. The record is from RNAcentral.
ACACUAUCAUUAACUGAAUCCAUAGGUUAAUGAGGCGAACCGGGGGAACUGAAACAUCUAAGUACCCCGAGGAAAAGAAAUCAACCGAGAUUCCCCCAGUAGCGGCGAGCGAACGGGGAGGAGCCCAGAGCCUGAAUCAGUGUGUGUGUUAGUGGAAGCGUCUGGAAAGGCGCGCGAUACAGGGUGACAGCCCCGUACACAAAAAUGCACAUGCUGUGAGCUCGAUGAGUAGGGCGGGACACGUGGUAUCCUGUCUGAAUAUGGGGGGACCAUCCUCCAAGGCUAAAUACUCCUGACUGACCGAUAGUGAACCAGUACCGUGAGGGAAAGGCGAAAAGAACCCCGGCGAGGGGAGUGAAAAAGAACCUGAAACCGUGUACGUACAAGCAGUGGGAGCACAGAGCAAUCUGUGUGACUGCGUACCUUUUGUAUAAUGGGUCAGCGACUUAUAUUCUGUAGCAAGGUUAACCGAAUAGGGGAGCCGAAGGGAAACCGAGUCUUAACUGGGCGUUAAGUUGCAGGGUAUAGACCCGAAACCCGGUGAUCUAGCCAUGGGCAGGUUGAAGGUUGGGUAACACUAACUGGAGGACCGAACCGACUAAUGUUGAAAAAUUAGCGGAUGACUUGUGGCUGGGGGUGAAAGGCCAAUCAAACCGGGAGAUAGCUGGUUCUCCCCGAAAGCUAUUUAGGUAGCGCCUCGUGAAUUCAUCUCCGGGGGUAGAGCACUGUUUCGGCAAGGGGGUCAUCCCGACUUACCAACCCGAUGCAAACUGCGAAUACCGGAGAAUGUUAUCACGGGAGACACACGGCGGGUGCUAACGUCCGUCGUGAAGAGGGAAACAACCCAGACCGCCAGCUAAGGUCCCAAAGUCAUGGUUAAGUGGGAAACGAUGUGGGAAGGCCCAGACAGCCAGGAUGUUGGCUUAGAAGCAGCCAUCAUUUAAAGAAAGCGUAAUAGCUCACUGGUCGAGUCGGCCUGCGCGGAAGAUGUAACGGGGCUAAACCAUGCACCGAAGCUGCGGCAGCGACACUGUGUGUUGUUGGGUAGGGGAGCGUUCUGUAAGCCUGUGAAGGUGUGCUGUGAGGCAUGCUGGAGGUAUCAGAAGUGCGAAUGCUGACAUAAGUAACGAUAAAGCGGGUGAAAAGCCCGCUCGCCGGAAGACCAAGGGUUCCUGUCCAACGUUAAUCGGGGCAGGGUGAGUCGACCCCUAAGGCGAGGCCGAAAGGCGUAGUCGAUGGGAAACAGGUUAAUAUUCCUGUACUUGGUGUUACUGCGAAGGGGGGACGGAGAAGGCUAUGUUGGCCGGGCACGGUUGUCCCGGUUUAAGCGUGUAGGCUGGUUUUCCAGGCAAAUCCGGAAAAUCAAGGCUGAGGCGUGAUGACGAGGCACUACGGUGCUGAAGCAACAAAUGCCCUGCUUCCAGGAAAAGCCUCUAAGCAUCAGGUAACAUCAAAUCGUACCCCAAACCGACACAGGUGGUCAGGUAGAGAAUACCAAGGCGCUUGAGAGAACUCGGGUGAAGGAACUAGGCAAAAUGGUGCCGUAACUUCGGGAGAAGGCACGCUGAUAUGUAGGUGAAGUCCCUCGCGGAUGGAGCUGAAAUCAGUCGAAGAUACCAGCUGGCUGCAACUGUUUAUUAAAAACACAGCACUGUGCAAACACGAAAGUGGACGUAUACGGUGUGACGCCUGCCCGGUGCCGGAAGGUUAAUUGAUGGGGUCAGCGCAAGCGAAGCUCUUGAUCGAAGCCCCGGUAAACGGCGGCCGUAACUAUAACGGUCCUAAGGUAGCGAAAUUCCUUGUCGGGUAAGUUCCGACCUGCACGAAUGGCGUAAUGAUGGCCAGGCUGUCUCCACCCGAGACUCAGUGAAAUUGAACUCGCUGUGAAGAUGCAGUGUACCCGCGGCAAGACGGAAAGACCCCGUGAACCUUUACUAUAGCUUGACACUGAACAUUGAGCCUUGAUGUGUAGGAUAGGUGGGAGGCUUUGAAGUGUGGACGCCAGUCUGCAUGGAGCCGACCUUGAAAUACCACCCUUUAAUGUUUGAUGUUCUAACGUGGACCCGUGAUCCGGGUUGCGGACAGUGUCUGGUGGGUAGUUUGACUGGGGCGGUCUCCUCCUAAAGAGUAACGGAGGAGCACGAAGGUUGGCUAAUCCUGGUCGGACAUCAGGAGGUUAGUGCAAUGGCAUAAGCCAGCUUGACUGCGAGCGUGACGGCGCGAGCAGGUGCGAAAGCAGGUCAUAGUGAUCCGGUGGUUCUGAAUGGAAGGGCCAUCGCUCAACGGAUAAAAGGUACUCCGGGGAUAACAGGCUGAUACCGCCCAAGAGUUCAUAUCGACGGCGGUGUUUGGCACCUCGAUGUCGGCUCAUCACAUCCUGGGGCUGAAGUAGGUCCCAAGGGUAUGGCUGUUCGCCAUUUAAAGUGGUACGCGAGCUGGGUUUAGAACGUCGUGAGACAGUUCGGUCCCUAUCUGCCGUGGGCGCUGGAGAACUGAGGGGGGCUGCUCCUAGUACGAGAGGACCGGAGUGGACGCAUCACUGGUGUUCGGGUUGUCAUGCCAAUGGCACUGCCCGGUAGCUAAAUGCGGAAGAGAUAAGUGCUGAAAGCAUCUAAGCACGAAACUUGCCCCGAGAUGAGUUCUCCCUGACCCUUUAAGGGUCCUGAAGGAACGUUGAAGACGACGACGUUGAUAGGCCGGGUGUGUAAGCGCAGCGAUGCGUUGAGCUAACCGGUACUAAUGAACCGUGAGGCUUAACCUU